RNAcentral lists this ribosomal RNA (502 nucleotides) under uncultured bacterium. Its description in RNAcentral is "bacterial SSU rRNA". It matches the Rfam family "Bacterial small subunit ribosomal RNA", at positions 28 to 526 of the family's 1533-position model. The record is from RNAcentral.
GACGAACGCUGGCGGCGUGCUUAACACAUGCAAGUUGAACGGGAUUCGCUCUAUGAAGUGUAAUAGCGAAUUAGAGUGAUGAGAGUAGCGGACGGGCGAGUAACGCGUGAGUAACCUGCCCUUUGCUGGGGGAUAACAUCGGGAAACCGGUGCUAAUACCGCAUAAGACCACAGUGCCACAUGGUACAGCGGUCAAAGCUCCGGCGGCAAAGGAUGGACUCGCGUCCAAUUAGCUAGUUGGUAGGGUAACGGCCUACCAAGGCGACGAUUGGUAUCCGAACUGAGAGGUUGAUCGGACGCAUUGGGACUGAGACACGGCCCAGACUCCUACGGGAGGCAGCAGUGGGGAAUAUUGCGCAAUGGGGGCAACCCUGACGCAGCAACGCCGCGUGAAGGAUGAAGGCUUUCGGGUGUAAACUUCUUUGAUCGGGGACGAAGAUGACGGUACCCGAGGAACAAGCCAACGGCUAAACUACGUAGCCCAGCAGCCGCGGUAAAAGUC